UUGUCUUUGAGUGACUUUGGGCUGUCUCCUUAAAUAAAAUCCACCCUCAUUGGAAAAAGGCUUGCUGCCAUUGACAGGAGUCAAAAGAAUAGGCUCUUGACUCUGAAGGAAGAUCCCAAGAUAUAAUUUAUUUCAACUCAUUUAAGAUGUCGGCAGUGAAGUUGCUUGCUAGGUGUGAAGUGAAACCUUCAAGUGGUAUGACCUGUUUUGGAUGAAGUCAUACUGACUCUUUGUGGUCACCAAGUCCUUUUCUAAAUACUCACAAACCAUGACUUUAAUAAUCUAGAAUUUUUCCUGCAAUUAGUCAACCUCACCAAUCUAGUUUGAAGAUUCUCGUCCUUUUUUGGAAAACUGGCUCCAAUCUUGUAGCACCAACCACUCUGGAAAGAAAUAUGUAAUGAUGUAAGUAAAAUAACUUGUGUCUAAACCCUUUGGAUCAAAGAUUCUACCAUAGACAUCUACUCCAAGGAAGACAAUGGAUUAAAAAAAAUAAAGCUCCAC
Molecule: long non-coding RNA, 501 nt
Filed under: Monodelphis domestica (gray short-tailed opossum)
Lineage: Eukaryota; Metazoa; Chordata; Mammalia; Didelphimorphia; Didelphidae
Description: lncRNA (ENSMODG00000041792.1)
Source: RNAcentral